RNAcentral lists this ribosomal RNA (253 nucleotides) under uncultured bacterium. RNAcentral describes it as "partial 16S ribosomal RNA". It matches the Rfam family "Bacterial small subunit ribosomal RNA", at positions 524 to 776 of the family's 1533-position model. The record is from RNAcentral.
UACGUAGGGUGCGAGCGUUGUCCGGAAUUACUGGGCGUAAAGGGCUCGUAGGCGGCCAACUAAGUCAGACGUGAAAUCCCUCGGCUUAACCGGGGAACUGCGUCUGAUACUGGAUGGCUAGAGGUUGGGAGAGGGAUGCGGAACUCCAGGUGUAGCGGUGAAAUGCGUAGAUAUCAGGAGGAACACCGGUGGCGAAGGCGGAUCUCUGGGCCUUACCUGACGCUCAGGUGCGAAAGCUAGGGGAGCGAACAGG